RNAcentral lists this long non-coding RNA (4506 nucleotides) under Mytilus galloprovincialis (Mediterranean mussel). Lineage: Eukaryota; Metazoa; Mollusca; Bivalvia; Mytilida; Mytilidae. The record is from RNAcentral.
AGCGCAUAGCGUAAAGGGGUACUUUUGUUUUCAUUUAGCAGUAAGAAAUUAAUUGGAAACAAGUGAAAGGGGUAGCAGAAGACAUCCAAUUUGAUUCUGAAACUAGUGUGAUAAUGAUAUUUUGUUUUAUUGUGUGACAUUGUGGCAAAUAUUAUAAAGAAAUACCAAUUUUGGUGACAAGAGCAUUAUCGGUCAACACAAUCAGUGCAGACAAGGAUUUUUUUUUCUAAUUAAAGAGAUAUUAUUUAUUGUAAUCUGAAAUAAAUAAAACAAAGGUAAGCUUAACAUUUUGACAUUGCCCUUUUUUCAGUAAAUUGAAAAAUAAAAUAAAAAAAUGUAUAUUUUUAUUGUUUAUAAUGUUUUUUUUUGUGUGUAUUGCAACCAUAAGACGUUUCAUUGUUUUAACAAUAGAUUUAAAAGAAAUUUAAUGAAUACACGAAUGAUUUUGAAAGAACUGUGUCAUGUAGUUAGCAACUGAGAUAUUUAACGCAUAUCUUAAGGUAUAGAAAAUAAAUAAGAAAAACAUUUAAUACUUCAAAUUGUAUGUAAGGUCGAAUGGUUCGGAAUUCUUUUACAAAUAUUUGGUUUAUUUCAAAAUAAGAAAUAUGGUAUAUCUUUAAAUGCUACGUAGAUUUCUUUUCUGUUAACUUAAAUGACAUUGAACAAUUAAUGUUCAAUAUAAACAAAAAGACAGAUUGUGUCUAUGGUGAAGAAACAAAACAGAAAUAAAAUGCUAAUAUCAAAAUCCAAAAAAAUUAUAGUGCAUCUAUAAAAGAGUACAAUCAGGCCAUAAUAAUAAAACUAGCAGUUUAAUAAGAUAAAUAUGGAAUUUUGUCUGGUUGGGCUAACAUCAUUUUCUGCUCAAAUGUUGGAUUGUUAAUUUGCUUUCGUCCUGAACAUGCAUGAACUAUUUGCCACUGCACGCAAAACAACGGAACACACCCGACAGUGGUUACACCCAUACAACAAAACUCAGUUUGCUUUAAAAAAAAAGCCAUGAUGUACAUAUUGGCCAACUACGCAUUCUAACAAUACAUGUGUUUCGUGUGUUUUUUUCUGUUGAAAACCUAUCAAAAUAUCAACAUACAUUUUUCUAUUUAAAUUUUCAAAAUAACAUGUCAUCCGUGUUUAAAUUAAAUCGAAGACGGCGUUGUAUACCUUUACUAAUUAAUUAGAGCUCAAAGUCAAAAUUUAAAUCAAGAAAUAUGCGGUUAAUAACACCUAUUUAUAAGUAACCUAUAAUCCAUGUGGAAUUCAGAUUAACAUACAUAAAUAUAUAUUGACACAUAUAUUAUAUCUUACAAUUUAAACUUUAAAAAAGAAAUUUUCAUACACGAGUAAGGCGAAACAAAUAUAAUUUCCUUUGUGCUACCUUACUUUCCCGUUAUGUUCCUGCCUACCCCAACACAUGCAGCCUACGCCUACGGGCAUCUGAAUCGAUUAAGCGCCUUUAUAAUGCAGCCAUGUUAGACUAAGCACCUUUCUUAUGUCCGGAAAAUUGAUCUUUUUUUUCAAUUAAAAUGUUGUUUUGUAUAUCUACCUAUCAGAAAACAAGUAUAUAUCAUUUAUUACAUAUUUUAGCUUAAUAAAUAAUUUGGAAACAUACGUUCAUUGAGACACAGACACAAAUGAGAUUUGACUAUACUGAUACCAUAGUUUACGUUUUCAAGUGUAAUUAUGAGGGUUUAAAGUUUUGCUAUGGAUACUUCAAUUUGAAACUAUAUUACUUUUUAAAGUAUUAUAUUGUCAAAAGAGGCAUUAUAUAUAAUAGCAUGUACACAUGUAAUACGAUUCUUGAAGACGGAUGGACAAAAAAACCUUAAUGGUUCAGAAACAACUUAAACUUUAUUAAAAUGAAAUGAUAAAAAAACGAAUUCGAAUUUGAAAUAAAUGAGACGAAAAGCGUGGUUAAAAUUCACUCCAAAUUUGACCCAUGGGAUUCUUUUACUCUCUUGUGUCUUUGGGUUACAGCUCAAUGAAGUCUAGGUAAUAUAAAGAUAAGGAGAUGUGGUAUGAUUGCCAAUGAGACAGCUAUCCACCAAAGUUCAAAUGAAAAAGAUGUAAGCAAUAGUAGGCAACCAAUGAGAAAAACCCAUACCGUAUAGUCGGCUAUACAAUCCCCGACAUGCAAUUCAAUUAAGAAAGCUAACGGCCUAAAUUAUAACAAAUAAUUUACUGAAAACAAAUAUGACAGACAUAAACCAACAACAACCACUGUACAAACCUUCCUCUGACAAUGGACAGUGGUCUAACAGCACAACAUACGAACGAACUAUAAAAAUUAUCUGACAAAGUCUUAUCUCAUCAGAUCGAUACAAAACAGAAAAACCACAGACUAGACGUGAUAUGGCAUUUAUCCAUCCCUCAUCCCUAUUUACAAUUAAAGUACCGAGUACAGAUCUCAGAGUACCCACAGUUACUGAUAGCGUAAACCUUUGUUUCCUGUUACUAGUAUACAUUUUGUUAGCCUCAUGAUACAUUGUAAUUAUGACCUAUAGAUUGAAUCUUUUCAAGAUCAUACGCAAUGAUCUAUGAUCAUGACAGUUGCUUAAUGCAAACCAAGAUACCUUGUUGAAAUCAAAUCAACACUUAAUCAAACCUUGUGGCUCGUUUUUCAAUCUAUCCCUUAACUGUUGUGUGUUUAAAAGGGAAAACAAGAAAUAUGAGGUAUACCUUCAUGAACAGAAGCCUAAAACAAGAAUUAUCAGAAAAAGUACUAUUCGGAGGUAAAUCUUUCUAUGCUUAUAUAUAUGUAAAUUGGUGGGUAUCAAUAUACUACGGAGCCCUGCUGGUAAUUUUCAAUUAAAGAGUUUCGUUUUUUUAAAGUCAAGUGCGUUUUGAUAUAUAUCUCCAACUGUUGACUUUAAAUUUCUAGCACUUUAUAUUCAUAAUACUUCUCCAGCUCUUUAAACACCACAAGUCUAUAUCUGUGUGAAACCAAUAGGACUCUGCAGUAUAUCGACAGUAUUGCUACCUAUAAUGCACCAUGCUACAAAUGACUACAUGGUUAAACCAUCUCGUUCAUAGAUAGCUGUUUGCUACGAGUAGUUUGCUUAUGACAUUACUGAUGAUACAUCUAUUGAUAGAAUUAAUUAAUAUAUUUGAAGAAAUAUACAGGUCUUCCAAUAAACGUUUGCAAUACAUGUCUAAACGUGUGCAUGGAGUAUAGUUUCAAAACAAUUCGAAGCUUUAACAGAUGUACAGUUUACAUGGAUGCUCAAUAGGAAUAAGGAAGUAUCAGAUAAUGUCAGAUCUGAUCUUACGAUAAUUAUAUUUUAAUACCCUCGGCUAGCUUCGCAAGAAACACAUUUUAAAUUUUGACAAAAAACAUCAUAAUUAUAAUUUAAUCAUAGUUAAUUUAUCAUAUCUUGUGGUGACACAAUCUUUAUAUCUUACAACCUUGUCGUUCGAGGACAAUUGAUGUCUAUAUAUUAACCUUUUAUUUGAUAUUUUAAAAGAAUUUUUCUGUACUUAAAAGUUUUUGUCUGACUUAUCUGUAUAAACUCUUUCUAAAUCAUCACAAAAUUACAAUAUUUUUUUUCAAAUUUAUAAGUACGUACAUUUAUUUAUAUUUGAAAAUUUAAACUUUGUUACAGUUAAUGAGUAAUAAUUUGCUUUUAUGUCAAACGUUCUUGACGACUGACACUAUAUGAUUGUUAACAAGUAUAAUUAAUUUGUUAAAAACGUAUAAUUCGUGACCCAUGCAGUGUGAAAAUUACAGUGUCAAUGUCAAAGCAUUGUAUUUUAAAAAUAUCUUUCUUUAGCUUGAUAUCAAAUUUAUAUACGGUAACGUUUCAAACGAAAGGGUUGGCCUUCUUAUAAAGGCCUCUCAAAUAGCUAAAUAAUACAAUCAAAUUUACAUCACGUCAGAGUAACAGGUACCAUUUCAACUUGUUUGAAAUAUAUACUCCAUAUUAUAGAAUCAAAUAUCAGAUAAUAUUUUAUAUGUAUCUCAUUUCUGAACUAAGUUUGUCAUAUUGAAUUUGUAUUUACUUAAUCAAAAUAUAUUGCUAUUAAAAUCUAACAGUCAAUCCUAUUCUCGAUUCGGUUUGCAAGUCCUUGCAUCAAUUUAAUUAAAAUCAAGAACUUGUAGCUGUCGACAACUUGUAUGAUAUUGAUUAUUUUUGUCCUUUUCUUUUCUUAUUAUCCUUAUUUACAGAAAAGUAUGGACGGACGAACAUGUACUCUAAAUAAUUAUAUUUCAUUCAAAAUGUACAGAAAUUUAGCGUCUGCAUAGUAUUACGUCUAAAUAUAUCAUGGAACUUUUUAAUGAACCAAUUUUAGUUACAAUAUUUAAUGGUUCUGAAUUACAAAGUCUAAAGUAAAGAUGGACACGGUCUUUAAUAAAGAAGUUUAAAUGAGAAGUUGGGUCUGAACAUAUUAUUUUUGUGUUUUCAAAUUUCCGUGCAAUUGAAAUCCUUGAAAUUGAUUUGAAAGGAAUAUUUAUGAAAUAACAUUAAAAUUUCUAUCUUCAGAUUUACUGGCAUUACAAAAAAAGAGGAACAA